RNAcentral lists this long non-coding RNA (930 nucleotides) under Nicotiana benthamiana. RNAcentral describes it as "long non-coding RNA (NBEN_LNC025776)". The record is from RNAcentral. Lineage: Eukaryota; Viridiplantae; Streptophyta; Magnoliopsida; Solanales; Solanaceae.
CCACACCACCAGUAAGAUGAGCAGCAGCAGUUCUCCUUCCGUUGUUAAAUAUUGUACUUUGUGGAUACCCAUGAAUCUUGAAACACUUAUCAAUUAAGUGUCCAGAUUUUUUGCAGUAUCUACAGAAUAAAGGCCCUCUAGCUUGAUCAAAAUUGACUCUUUGUCUGAAAGGAGGAGAAGGAUUAGGCAUUGUGGCCUUAUUAAAUCCAACUGAAUGGCUAUUAGUGUGGAAAUUGACUCUUUGUCUGAAAGGAGGAGAAGGAUUAGGCACUGUGGCCUUAUUAAAUCCAAAUGAAUGUCUAUUAGUGUGGACAUUGAAAGACAUAGAGUCUGGAUUAAACUGAGAAGGAGACUGGACUUGUCUCUGUUUCUCAUCAUUGAGGACCAUAUUAUAGACACUGUCAAAGGUUGGAAGUGGCUGCAUCAUCAAAAGGUUACUCCUUACCCCUAUGUAUGCUUCAUUAAGGCCCAUUAGAGACUGAAAUACCUUAUUUUCAUCAUUUUCCUGUAUUAUACCAUCUUUGGCAGCACAAACACAUCUUUGACCAUGAUUAACACACAUUGAUUCUAGUUCAUCCCACAGACCUUUAAGCUUAUUAAAAUAUGAAGCUACAUCUAGGGACCCUUGAGAGGCGUGAGAAAGCUCUCUUUUCAAUUCAAAAAUUUUGGUCCUGUUUGCAGUGCCAUAUCAGGCCUGAAGUUGGGACCAUAUACUCUAUGCAGUAUCAGAAUACUACACACUUUCAGCAAUUUGAGGGGAGAGGGAGGCAGUUAACCAGGAAAUUACCAUAUUAUUGCAUCUGUCCCAUAAUCUUUGCUGAGUCACAUUAGUGACUGGCCGGGGACAUGUUCCAUCAACAAAACCAAUUUUGUUCUUAGCAGAUAACGCGACAAUCAUUUUCCUCCUCCAACCCCCAUAACCAAUGCCCG